UCCUGAUGAAAACAACUCUGAUUUGUGCUCUUAUCAACUCUGUUAAGAUGGAGACUGAAAACCCAGGAGUCUGGAGCUGUCUGCACCCCUGGAAUACAGAUCUACAGAAGGAUUAUACUCCAGAGUUUAAAAAUGGAGCUUGGCAGAGAUGCAGAUCCAGUAGAAUCAACUGUCCUGGGGUGGACAUGGCGCAGCCUUCAUAUGUGAAGACUUUAUGGACAUUUCAUAGUGCUUCCCGGAGCUGAGAUGCUGACUUGCCAGAGCUUCCUCUCUGUGGAAUGUCGCUGAGGGUUGGAUGUUUCCUGAAACCUUGGAAACUGCGGCUUUAUUUCUGUGAUUCUUUAUCUUCCCAGACAAAUGUUCCUUCAAGUUAAAUGAUUGCAUGUGCUGCCUAGUGGCACACAAAUAUCCAGCUGUGAGGCUUCAAUAGGGUGAUCUCUUCACCAUGUUCUUCCCUAAGUCACACCAGCUUAGCUCGAACUUCUCUUCAUCCCCUUUGAAGCCAAGCAGGCUGCUCUGAGACUCCAGCUCAAUGUCACUCCCUCCAGGAUGUUGCUGGGCACAGAAAUUUCACAAUCCAUCUCCGUGGUUUUCUCUGACACAAGUUCAGCCCUACUUGUGUCACUGAUGCUGUGUCUCGUAACAGAACAUAGAAGGUGCCUCCUUUGAUUGGGCUUUUGCUUCUCAACCAAUAAGUUGAACAAGUGACUUAAAAUUAUUUCUUGUAUUAUUGGGCUUUGGUGGGAAACUCUCUUGGUAGGGCAGAGUUAGAUGGGGCUGAGAGAUAAUUCAGAGCUAGGCUGACUCCUCUCUCUUUAGGCAGGUGUCUGAGGGAGGGUCAGCCUCCCAUCCUGAUGAAUGAGGAUGUAUGUAUGCUUACUAUUGCAAAGAAGAGAUAAUGACAAAAAGCAAAUGUCAUCUGUGGACUUUGAACCACAUCCAAGGUUGUAAUAGCAGCUCCCAGUAUAUAGUGUUCUACCGUUGUAAUCUAAUAGUUGGUCUUUCUUUCCUCUUAGACUAUUUUAAGCUGUGUUAUAAGAAUGGAUGGCAGCUGUGUACUGGCUUUGAAAACUCUGCCCCCUGAUGUCUAGAAGUAGCCUGAUCAACUGAGAGUACCAUUUGCAACAUCUGAGGUUCAGCACAAGAUUAACAAGUAGGCACGGCUUUCAAGCCUCUGUUAAGCUGGUGGCAAGAGAUAUCAGAACUUGGGAGAAAAUGCAGAAUUCCUGAGUGUGGAUUGGGAAC
This 1245-nucleotide long non-coding RNA is filed under the name Mus spicilegus (steppe mouse). RNAcentral's name for it is "lncRNA (ENSMSIG00000017857.1)". The record is from RNAcentral. Lineage: Eukaryota; Metazoa; Chordata; Mammalia; Rodentia; Muridae.